AGCAGUUACUAGUGUGAGAACUAUUGAUGGUAAAACUAAUAAAUUUCUAAUCACAAUAGGUUUAUACUAAGGAUUUGCACUAAGUCCUAUUUACGCCUCAUAUUAACAACCUAGUUGGUGCAUAAUGGAUGAAAGUCACAUGGACUAAUAUUAGAUUAAGUAAAACAGAUAAAAGUCACGUGACCCAUCUUAUCAUUAUCUGGUCUAGCGUGACGUGCAAUAAUGGCUAGAUAACGGCCGAUAGUGUGAUCGAGGUGCAGGUGUCAGUCCAUAUAGGUGGCAAGCAGCGCUGGUGGGGUGCAGACUGUGGUGCU
This 314-nucleotide long non-coding RNA is filed under the name Phoenix dactylifera (date palm). RNAcentral's name for it is "long non-coding RNA (PDAC_LNC007811)". Lineage: Eukaryota; Viridiplantae; Streptophyta; Magnoliopsida; Arecales; Arecaceae. The record is from RNAcentral.